RNAcentral lists this ribosomal RNA (460 nucleotides) under uncultured bacterium. RNAcentral describes it as "partial 16S ribosomal RNA". It matches the Rfam family "Bacterial small subunit ribosomal RNA", at positions 338 to 795 of the family's 1533-position model. The record is from RNAcentral.
CCUACGGGAGGCAGCAGUGAGGAAUAUUGGUCAAUGGACGAGAGUCUGAACCAGCCAAGUAGCGCGAAGGAUGACUGCCCUAUGGGUUGUAAACUUCUUUUAUAUGGGAAUAAAACGUUCCACGUGUGGGAUUUUGUAUGUACCAUAUGAAUAAGGAUCGGCUAACUCCGUGCCAGCAGCCGCGGUAAUACGGAGGAUCCGAGCGUUAUCCGGAUUUAUUGGGUUUAAAGGGAGCGUAGGUGGAUUGUUAAGUCAGUUGUGAAAGUUUGCGGCUCAACCGUAAAAUUGCAGUUGAAACUGGCAGUCUUGAGUACAGUAGAGGUGGGCGGAAUUCGUGGUGUAGCGGUGAAAUGCUUAGAUAUCACGAAGAACUCCGAUUGCGAAGGCAGUUCACUGGACUGCAACUGACACUGAGGCUCGAAAGUGUGGGUAUCAAACAGGAUUAGAUACCCCAGUAGUC